GUGGGGAAUCUUCCGCAAUGGACGAAAGUCUGACGGAGCGACGCCGCGUGAGUGAAGAAGGCCUUCGGGUCGUAAAGCUCUGUCAUCAGGGAUGAACGGCCGGUGGAGUGGAAAGCCACCGGAUUGACGGUACCUGAGAAGGAAGCCACGGCUAACUACGUGCCAGCAGCCGCGGUAAUACGUAGGUGGCAAGCGUUGUCCGGAAUUAUUGGGCGUAAAGCGCGCGCAGGUGGGAUCUUAAGUCCAUUUUUAAAGUUCGGAGCUCAACUCCGUGAUGGGAUGGAAACUGGGAUUCUUGAGUACCGGAGAGGAAAGCGGAAUUCCCCGUGUAGCGGUGAAAUGCGUAGAUAUGGGGAGGAACACCAGUGGCGAAGGCGGCUUUCUGGACGGUGUCUGACACUGAGGCGCGAAAGCCAGGGGAGCGAACGGGAUUAGAUACCCGGGUAGACC
RNAcentral lists this ribosomal RNA (450 nucleotides) under uncultured bacterium. Its description in RNAcentral is "partial 16S ribosomal RNA". It matches the Rfam family "Bacterial small subunit ribosomal RNA", at positions 354 to 796 of the family's 1533-position model. The record is from RNAcentral.